This 95-nucleotide transfer RNA is filed under the name Candidatus Acetothermia bacterium. RNAcentral's name for it is "tRNA-Ser". It matches the Rfam family "tRNA". Rfam says of the family: Transfer RNA (tRNA) molecules are approximately 80 nucleotides in length. Their secondary structure includes four short double-helical elements and three loops (D, anti-codon, and T loops). Further hydrogen bonds mediate the characteristic L-shaped molecular structure. tRNAs have two regions of fundamental functional importance: the anti-codon, which is responsible for specific mRNA codon recognition, and the 3' end, to which the tRNAs corresponding amino acid is attached (by aminoacyl-tRNA synthetases). tRNAs cope with the degeneracy of the genetic code in two manners: having more than one tRNA (with a specific anti-codon) for a particular amino acid; and 'wobble' base-pairing, i.e. permitting non-standard base-pairing at the 3rd anti-codon position. Lineage: Bacteria; Candidatus Bipolaricaulota. The record is from RNAcentral.
GGAGGGAUGGUCGAGCGGUCGAAGACGACGGCUUGCUAAGCCGUUGCUGGGGUGUUGAGCCCGAGCCGUGGGUUCGAAUCCCACUCCCUCCGCCA